This is a long non-coding RNA of Dermochelys coriacea (leatherback sea turtle), 284 nucleotides long. RefSeq lists it as uncharacterized. The record is from RefSeq and is a predicted model, not a curated record. NCBI's taxonomy places the organism in Eukaryota, Metazoa, Chordata, Testudines, Dermochelyidae. The transcript has 3 exons.
CUGCUGUCAGAAAGGGUCGCUACCUACCUGGCAGAAUGACCCCCCCAGAGCAACAAGAGAGAAAGAGAACAAAGAAAAGGGACCAGGAGGAGUGGGGUCUAGUUGAGGAGCCCACCCUCCUUGCUAAAUGAUAGUGGGACAAAGCCUGUGCCCAUGGGAAGGGGCAGUUCAGCAAGGAAAGCAGAAUCAGGCCCAGUCAAGCAGGCAGGCAACAGAUAAAGAGACUGGAAAACAGGUUAGGAGCCCUGAGGGGCAUAGUGGAAGGAGUAAGGGAAGCAGUGAGC